GUGGGGAAUAUUGGACAAUGGGGGGAACCCUGAUCCAGCCAUGCCGCGUGUGUGAAGAAGGCCUUUUGGUUGUAAAGCACUUUAAGCGAGGAGGAGGCUACCGAGAUUAAUACUCUUGGAUAGUGGACGUUACUCGCAGAAUAAGCACCGGCUAACUCUGUGCAAGCAGCCGCGGUAAUACAGAGGGUGCAAGCGUUAAUCGGAUUUACUGGGCGUAAAGCGCGCGUAGGUGGCCAAUUAAGUCAAAUGUGAAAUCCCCGAGCUUAACGUGGGAAUUGCAUUCGAUACUGGUUGGCUAGAGUAUGGGAGAGGAUGGUAGAAUUCCAGGUGUAGCGGUGAAAUGCGUAGAGAUCUGGAGGAAUACCGAUGGCGAAGGCAGCCAUCUGGCCUAAUACUGACACUGAGGUGCGAAAGCAUGGGGAGCAAACAGGAUUAGAUACCCCAGUAGUCC
This 451-nucleotide ribosomal RNA is filed under the name uncultured bacterium. RNAcentral describes it as "partial 16S ribosomal RNA". It matches the Rfam family "Bacterial small subunit ribosomal RNA", at positions 354 to 796 of the family's 1533-position model. The record is from RNAcentral.